RNAcentral lists this ribosomal RNA (253 nucleotides) under uncultured bacterium. RNAcentral's name for it is "partial 16S ribosomal RNA". It matches the Rfam family "Bacterial small subunit ribosomal RNA", at positions 524 to 776 of the family's 1533-position model. The record is from RNAcentral.
UACGUAGGUGGCAAGCGUUGUCCGGAUUUAUUGGGUUUAAAGGGUGCGUAGGCGGCUUUGUAAGUCAGUGGUGAAAUAUGGCAGCUUAACUGUCAAGGUGCCAUUGAUACUGCGGAGCUUGAGUACAGAUGAGGUAGGCGGAAUUGACGGUAUAGCGGUGAAAUGCUUAGAUAUCGUCAAGAACACCUAUAGCGAAGGCAGCUUACUAGGCUGUAACUGACGCUGAGGCACGAAAGUGUGGGGAUCAAACAGG